Molecule: transfer RNA, 73 nt
Filed under: Hydrogenobaculum sp. Y04AAS1
Lineage: Bacteria; Pseudomonadati; Aquificota; Aquificia; Aquificales; Aquificaceae
Also listed under: 5 other names
Description: tRNA-Thr (GGT) (tRNA-Thr-GGT-1-1)
Rfam family: tRNA
About the family: Transfer RNA (tRNA) molecules are approximately 80 nucleotides in length.
Source: RNAcentral
GCCCUGGUAGCUCAGUCGGUAGAGCACACCCUUGGUAAGGGUGAGGUCGCCGGUUCAAGUCCGGUCUAGGGCU